AGUGAACGCUGGCGGUAGGCCUAACACAUGCAAGUCGAACGGCAGCACAGAGGAGCUUGCUCCUUGGGUGGCGAGUGGCGGACGGGUGAGGAAUACAUCGGAAUCUACUCUGUCGUGGGGGAUAACGUAGGGAAACUUACGCUAAUACCGCAUACGACCUACGGGUGAAAGCAGGGGAUCUUUGGACCUUGCGCGAUUGAAUGAGCCGAUGUCGGAUUAGCUAGUUGGCGGGGGAAAGGCCCACCAAGGCGACGAUCCGUAGCUGGUCUGAGAGGAUGAUCAGCCACACUGGAACUGAGACACGGUCCAGACUCCUACGGGAGGCAGCAGUGGGGAAUAUUGGACAAUGGGCGCAAGCCUGAUCCAGCCAUACCGCGUGGGUGAAGAAGGCCUUCGGGUUGUAAAGCCCUUUUGUUGGGAAAGAAAUCCAUCUGGUUAAUACCCGGGUGGGAUGACGGUACCCAAAGAAUAAGCACCGGCUAACUUCGUGCCAGCAGCAGCCGCAG
RNAcentral lists this ribosomal RNA (506 nucleotides) under uncultured bacterium. RNAcentral's name for it is "partial 16S ribosomal RNA". It matches the Rfam family "Bacterial small subunit ribosomal RNA", at positions 29 to 523 of the family's 1533-position model. The record is from RNAcentral.